UACGGGGGGGGCAAGCGUUAUUCGGAAUUACUGGGCGUAAAGGGUACGUAGGCGGAUUAUAAAGUUAAAAUAGAAGACCAAAGCUUAACUUUGGUAAUAUUUUAAUACUUAUAGAUCUAGAGUAUGAUAGAGGAUAGUAGAAUUUUUAAUGUAACAAUGAAAUGUGAAAAUAUUAAAAGGAAUACCUAUGGCGAAGGCAACUAUCUGGAUCAUAACUGACGCUGAGGUACGAAAGUUUGGGGAGCAAACAGG
Molecule: ribosomal RNA, 252 nt
Filed under: uncultured prokaryote
Description: partial 16S ribosomal RNA
Rfam family: Bacterial small subunit ribosomal RNA
Source: RNAcentral